RNAcentral lists this ribosomal RNA (506 nucleotides) under uncultured bacterium. RNAcentral describes it as "partial 16S ribosomal RNA". It matches the Rfam family "Bacterial small subunit ribosomal RNA", at positions 29 to 523 of the family's 1533-position model. The record is from RNAcentral.
AGUGAACGCUGGCGGUAGGCCUAACACAUGCAAGUCGAACGGCAGCACAGGAGAGCUUGCUCUCUGGGUGGCGAGUGGCGGACGGGUGAGGAAUACAUCGGAAUCUACUCUGUCGUGGGGGAUAACGUAGGGAAACUUACGCUAAUACCGCAUACGACCUACGGGUGAAAGCAGGGGACCUUCGGGCCUCGCGCGAUUGAAUGAGCCGAUGUCGGAUUAGCUAGUUGGCGGGGUAAAGGCCCACCAAGGCGACGAUCCGUAGCUGGUCUGAGAGGAUGAUCAGCCACACUGGAACUGAGACACGGUCCAGACUCCUACGGGAGGCAGCAGUGGGGAAUAUUGGACAAUGGGCGCAAGCCUGAUCCAGCCAUACCGCGUGGGUGAAGAAGGCCUUCGGAUUGUAAAGCCCUUUUGUUGGGAAAGAAAUCCAGCUGGCUAAUACCCGGUUGGGAUGACGGUACCCAAAGAAUAAGCACCGGCUAACUUCGUGCCAGCAGCCGCGGUAA